AACUACCCUUAUCAUAUCUUCAUCUUCUUGUUCAUAAUCUUCACUAAGAAAACCCAGCAAAUCAUUAAAAAAAACAGCACUUCCCAUUUUCCAUUUCUGCCCCAUAUCACUUCCCAUUAAAAAAAACUGCUCAGUUACUCACAUCACAUACCUACCAACUUCCAAGUGCAAAUAUUCACAAAUUGGAGUUAGAGAUUUGGGAUUUUUCAUAACAAUGAAAUCAAUCUCUGCAAAUAGAACCGUUCAAAAAAAAAUCUCUACAAAUAGGAAUAGAAAUAGUUUUUGAAUUGUGAAUUGUGAUGCUAUUCCAACUUCCGCAUCAACUACACCAUUAAUCUUAUCCCAACUUACAACUCUCUCCCUUCAACCUCAACUUCCUCGCCGUCAUCGCUGCCUAGUUCUUGCUCUUCUUCUUCCAUGACCGCCCCCUCGUCCUCUUCCGUUUCACCAUCGACGACCGCUUACUCCUCCUCCUACUCACCACUCUCACCGUCGUAGCUCUUGUCUUCACCGGCGUUUGGCUUAACGUCCUCGUGAGUCGUGUUGGUGCUGCGGUGGUUGUUUUGAAUGAGGCGUUUCAGAGUAUUGAUGAUUUGUAUUUAGAUGAAGAAGAGAUCUUUGAUGGUGAUUUGCUUUCAGUUGUUGGUGGUAGCUUCGAUACCAAACGUUGUUCAGCGACGGUGAAGGAGAGUCACAAUCUGGGUCAGCGCUUAUUGUUUCAAAACUGUGUCUUGGUGCGAGGAUAUGAGGUUCUAUGUGAGAGGAUGAGAAGUCACGAUCUGGGUCAGCGCUUGUUCUUCUUGAGGUUGUUGUUGAGGAUGAGAAGUCUGUUAAGGUUGUGGUUGUUGAUGUGAGUGAUGUUGUUCAUGUUCUUAUUGGGUUUUUUUUUAUCUCAUUUUUUAGGAAAAAAAAUUCUGAGUUUUAUUAAUGUUGGUGAAGAUGAUGAUUGAUGAAGAAGUUUGAAUUUUUCUGGAUUUGUUUGAAUGAAUGUAUGAAUGUGAUUGAUGAAGAUGAAGAAAAGGAAAAAAAA
RNAcentral lists this long non-coding RNA (1030 nucleotides) under Medicago truncatula (barrel medic). Its description in RNAcentral is "lncRNA gene13409". The record is from RNAcentral. Lineage: Eukaryota; Viridiplantae; Streptophyta; Magnoliopsida; Fabales; Fabaceae.